GGCUGUCGUCAGCUCGUGUCGUGAAAUGUUGGGUUAAGUCCCGCAACGAGCGCAACCCUUAUCCUUUGUUGCCAGCGGUUAGGGCGGGAACUCAAAGGAGACUGCCAGUGAUAAACUGGAGGAAGGUGGGGAUGACGUCAAGUCAUCAUGGCCCUUACGAGUAGGGCUACACACGUGCUACAAUGGCGCAUACAAAGGGAAGCGACCUCGCGAGAGCAAGCGGACCUCAUAAAGUCCGUCGUAGUCCGGAUUGCAGUCUGCAACUCGACUCCAUGAAGUCGGAAUCGCUAGUAAUCGUAUC
Molecule: ribosomal RNA, 301 nt
Filed under: uncultured bacterium
Lineage: Bacteria
Description: bacterial SSU rRNA
Rfam family: Bacterial small subunit ribosomal RNA
Source: RNAcentral